RNAcentral lists this long non-coding RNA (589 nucleotides) under Olea europaea (common olive). RNAcentral's name for it is "long non-coding RNA (OEUR_LNC001531)". The record is from RNAcentral. Lineage: Eukaryota; Viridiplantae; Streptophyta; Magnoliopsida; Lamiales; Oleaceae.
GAAUCGGUGCUUCUUUAAUUGUUAGGUAGAUCAACGUUCUUAUUGUGCUCCACAUUAUGCGCAAUCAUGUGAAGAUUUUGGAGAUGAGUUGUAGGAGUACUUGUUAUUUGGAGUCCAAUGUUGGUACUUGAUUAAAAUGAGAGAUCGUCCGCCUUGGUCGGAUCAUAUUCUUGAGGACAAGUUGCCAUUUGCAUUGUUAUCAACCGUGAAGGUCAGAUAUUUGGUUCUUUAAAAAGAUCGUCCACCGUGGUAUGAGUUCAGACAUUGAAGGUCGAUGGCAGCUCUUUGUCAUUUGUUUACUCGACAGAGUCGAGUUUUUCUUCCACCCUGGGAGAAUUGAUGCGGACAUCACUUAUAUUAUUAUCGCACUAUUUUACUUUUUCCAGUUAUUGGGUUUGUAUUAUUGGUUUGGUCCAAGCCCAUCAUUGGUAAGGUUAUGCUUUUACUAUUUAUAUGAUUUUCAGUUGNNNNNNNNNNNNNNAGUUAUUGGGUUUGUAUUAUUGGUUUGGUCCAAGCCCAUCAUUGGUAAGGUUAUGCUUUUACUAUUUAUAUGAUUUUCAGUUGUAAUUUCAGUAGACGAUGAUAAAUU